GACGUAGGGGGCAAGCGUUGUCCGGAUUUAUUGGGCGUAAAGAGCUCGUAGGCGGCUCAGAAAGUCGGGUGUGAAACCUCCAGGCUCAACCUGGAGACGCCACCUGAUACUGCUGUGGCUAGAGUCCGGUAGGGGAGCACGGAAUUCCCGGUGUAGCGGUGAAAUGCUUAGAUAUCGGGAGGAACACCAGUGGCGAAGGCGGUGCUCUGGGCCGGAACUGACGCUGAGGAGCGAAAGCGUGGGUAGCAAACAGG
This 254-nucleotide ribosomal RNA is filed under the name uncultured bacterium. RNAcentral's name for it is "partial 16S ribosomal RNA". It matches the Rfam family "Bacterial small subunit ribosomal RNA", at positions 524 to 776 of the family's 1533-position model. The record is from RNAcentral. RNAcentral also lists the same sequence under 1 other name.